This 484-nucleotide ribosomal RNA is filed under the name uncultured bacterium. Its description in RNAcentral is "partial 16S ribosomal RNA". It matches the Rfam family "Bacterial small subunit ribosomal RNA", at positions 30 to 507 of the family's 1533-position model. The record is from RNAcentral.
AUUGAACGCUGGCGGCAGGCCUAACACAUGCAAGUCGAGCGGAUGAAGGGAGCUUGCUCCUGGAUUCAGCGGCGGACGGGUGAGUAAUGCCUAGGAAUCUGCCUGGUAGUGGGGGAUAACGUCCGGAAACGGGCGCUAAUACCGCAUACGUCCUGAGGGAGAAAGUGGGGGAUCUUCGGACCUCACGCUAUCAGAUGAGCCUAGGUCGGAUUAGCUAGUUGGUGGGGUAAAGGCCUACCAAGGCGACGAUCCGUAACUGGUCUGAGAGGAUGAUCAGUCACACUGGAACUGAGACACGGUCCAGACUCCUACGGGAGGCAGCAGUGGGGAAUUUUGGACAAUGGGCGCAAGCCUGAUCCAGCCAUGCCGCGUGUGUGAAGAAGGUCUUCGGAUUGUAAAGCACUUUUAGUUGGGAGGAAGGGCAGUAAGUUAAUACCUUGCUGUUUUGACGUUACCAACAGAAUAAGCACCGGCUAACUUCGUG